CCUACGGGAGGCAGCAGUAGGGAAUCUUCCGCAAUGGACGAAAGUCUGACGGAGCAACGCCGCGUGAACGAUGAAGGCCUUCGGGUCGUAAAGUUCUGUUGUUAGGGAAGAACAAGUGCUAGUUAAAUAAGCUGGCACCUUGACGGUACCUAACCAGAAAGCCACGGCUAACUACGUGCCAGCAGCCGCGGUAAUACGUAGGUGGCAAGCGUUGUCCGGAAUUAUUGGGCGUAAAGCGCGCGCAGGCGGUUUCUUAAGUCUGAUGUGAAAGCCCCCGGCUCAACCGGGGAGGGUCAUUGGAAACUGGGAAACUUGAGUGCAGAAGAGGAAAGUGGAAUUCCAAGUGUAGCGGUGAAAUGCGUAGAGAUUUGGAGGAACACCAGUGGCGAAGGCGACUUUCUGGUCUGUAACUGACGCUGAGGCGCGAAAGCGUGGGGAGCAAACAGGAUUAGAUACCCUGGUAGUCCACGCUGUAAACGAUGAGUGCUAAGUGUUAGAGGGUUUCCGCCUUUAGUGCUGAAGUUAACGCAUUAAGCACUCCGCCUGGGGAGUACGGUCGCAAGCUGAAACUCAAAGGAAUUGACGG
This 586-nucleotide ribosomal RNA is filed under the name uncultured bacterium. RNAcentral's name for it is "bacterial SSU rRNA". It matches the Rfam family "Bacterial small subunit ribosomal RNA", at positions 338 to 916 of the family's 1533-position model. The record is from RNAcentral.